GUACACUCCUACGGGAGGCAGCAGUGGGGAAUUUUGGACAAUGGGCGAAAGCCUGAUCCAGCCAUGCCGCGUGCAGGAUGAAGGCCUUCGGGUUGUAAACUGCUUUUGUACGGAACGAAACGGCCUUUUCUAAUAAAGAGGGCUAAUGACGGUACCGUAAGAAUAAGCACCGGCUAACUACGUGCCAGCAGCCGCGGUAAUACGUAGGGUGCAAGCGUUAAUCGGAAUUACUGGGCGUAAAGCGUGCGCAGGCGGUUAUGUAAGACAGUUGUGAAAUCCCCGGGCUCAACCUGGGAACUGCAUCUGUGACUGCAUAGCUAGAGUACGGUAGAGGGGGAUGGAAUUCCGCGUGUAGCAGUGAAAUGCGUAGAUAUGCGGAGGAACACCGAUGGCGAAGGCAAUCCCCUGGACCUGUACUGACGCUCAUGCACGAAAGCGUGGGGAGCAAACAGGAUUAGAUACCCCAGUAGUCCCA
RNAcentral lists this ribosomal RNA (475 nucleotides) under uncultured organism. Its description in RNAcentral is "partial 16S ribosomal RNA". It matches the Rfam family "Bacterial small subunit ribosomal RNA", at positions 331 to 797 of the family's 1533-position model. The record is from RNAcentral.